AUUCAGCAGCAUUUAUAACGACUUUAUGAGCAAAUGAACGUCGAUAAGUUUCACAAGGAAUGUGUUAAUCUGUUGGCGGUCAGUUUUCAGGAAUUGAAACCAAAUGAGAUUCAUAACAGUCCUGCAUCUUAAAUUCAACAAACAGAGUUUAAAAGCCUCUGUUUGUGUACUGUGGGCCAUCACUGUGCCCAGGCUGACACGCACCUCUCCAGAGACGGGUUGUUCUCCAGGUGGCCACGGAUAGCCUUCCUCAUCAUGGUGUUUUUGCCCAUGAGCACGACGGCCUUGCCCCGUAGGGACAGACGGAUGGUCUGCAUCUGCUUGGAGCCGACAUUGUCUGCGCCCACGAUGAAACACUUGGGGAAGUCAUC
This is a long non-coding RNA of Carassius carassius (crucian carp), 371 nucleotides long. RefSeq lists it as uncharacterized. The transcript has 2 exons. Lineage: Eukaryota; Metazoa; Chordata; Actinopteri; Cypriniformes; Cyprinidae. The record is from RefSeq and is a predicted model, not a curated record.